UACGGGAGGCAGCAGUGGGGAAUAUUGCACAAUGGGCGCAAGCCUGAUGCAGCCAUGCCGCGUGUAUGAAGAAGGCCUUCGGGUUGUAAAGUACUUUCAGCGGGGAGGAAGGGAGUAAAGUUAAUACCUUUGCUCAUUGACGUUACCCGCAGAAGAAGCACCGGCUAACUCCGUGCCAGCAGCCGCGGUAAUACGGAGGGUGCAAGCGUUAAUCGGAAUUACUGGGCGUAAAGCGCACGCAGGCGGUUUGUUAAGUCAGAUGUGAAAUCCCCGGGCUCAACCUGGGAACUGCAUCUGAUACUGGCAAGCUUGAGUCUCGUAGAGGGGGUAGAAUUCCAGGUGUAGCGGUGAAAUGCGUAGAGAUCUGGAGGAAUACCGGUGGCGAAGGCGGCCCCUGGGACGAAGACUGACGCUCAGGGUGCGAAAGCGUGGGGAGCAAACAGGGAUUAGAUA
RNAcentral lists this ribosomal RNA (453 nucleotides) under uncultured bacterium. RNAcentral's name for it is "bacterial SSU rRNA". It matches the Rfam family "Bacterial small subunit ribosomal RNA", at positions 340 to 784 of the family's 1533-position model. The record is from RNAcentral.